UACAGAGGUCUCAACCGUUGUUCGGAUUCAUUGGGCGUAAAGGGUGCGUAGGCGGUCGUGCAAGUCGGAUGUGAAAUCUCAGGGCUCAACCCUGAAACUGCAUUCGAUACUGCGGUGCUUGAGGACUGGAGAGGAGACUGGAAUUCAUGGUGUAGCAGUGAAAUGCGUAGAGAUCAUGAGGAAGACCAGUGGCGAAGGCGGGUCUCUGGACAGUUCCUGACACUGAGGCACGAAGGCCAGGGGAGCAAACGGG
RNAcentral lists this ribosomal RNA (253 nucleotides) under uncultured bacterium. Its description in RNAcentral is "partial 16S ribosomal RNA". It matches the Rfam family "Bacterial small subunit ribosomal RNA", at positions 524 to 776 of the family's 1533-position model. The record is from RNAcentral.